UACGUAGGGUGCGAGCGUUGUCCGGAAUUACUGGGCGUAAAGAGCUCGUAGGUGGUUUGUCACGUCGUCUGUGAAAUUCCGGGGCUUAACCUCGGGCGUGCAGGCGAUACGGGCAAUACUUGAGUGCUGUGGGGGAGACUGGAAUUCCUGGUGUAGCGGUGAAAUGCGCAGAUAUCAGGAGGAACACCAAUGGCGAAGGCAGGUCUCUGGGCAGUUACUGACGCUGAGGAGCGAAAGCAUGGGUAGCGAACAGGAUUAGA
This 260-nucleotide ribosomal RNA is filed under the name uncultured prokaryote. RNAcentral describes it as "partial 16S ribosomal RNA". It matches the Rfam family "Bacterial small subunit ribosomal RNA", at positions 524 to 782 of the family's 1533-position model. The record is from RNAcentral.